Molecule: ribosomal RNA, 200 nt
Filed under: uncultured bacterium
Lineage: Bacteria
Description: partial 16S ribosomal RNA
Rfam family: Bacterial small subunit ribosomal RNA
Source: RNAcentral
GAUGAACGCUAGCGGGAGGCCUAACACAUGCAAGCCGAGCGGUAGAGAUUCUUCGGAAUCUUGAGAGCGGCGUACGGGUGCGGAACACGUGUGCAACCUACCUUUAUCAGGGGGAUAGCCUUUCGAAAGGAAGAUUAAUACCCCAUAAUAUAUUUGAUGGCAUCAUUAGAUAUUGAAAACUCCGGUGGAUAGAGAUGGGC